CAUUGAACGGACUCAUUCGUUACUAGGAUGGUAGCGACAAGGGAAUGGCAAUGGACACCUCUGGAUGAGGAAAGGACUUAACAUCAGGAUGAUGUCAGGGACACCGCUCAGGGAACAAGUGAUGUGAGCUAACGAGGAUUGUUAGCAGAUCAGGAAGAUUAUGGACACCGCUAGGAUGGCGAUGAAAGGAUUGCGCUGAAGGAAUACAGCACACUUAUCAAGGAAUAGAUGCAGGGAGCACCUAUUAGUAGCUGGAUUGCUGCAAGUAAGACUAUAACCCCGAAGGGCUCGCGCCCUCGGGGUUUUUCUUUU
Molecule: non-coding RNA, 312 nt
Filed under: Vibrio diazotrophicus
Lineage: Bacteria; Pseudomonadati; Pseudomonadota; Gammaproteobacteria; Vibrionales; Vibrionaceae
Source: RNAcentral